Molecule: non-coding RNA, 863 nt
Organism: Podarcis muralis (Common wall lizard)
Lineage: Eukaryota; Metazoa; Chordata; Lepidosauria; Squamata; Lacertidae
Source: RefSeq, a predicted model, not a curated record
ACUGCAGAAAGAAUCUCUAUAUCCUUUUUGAAUUUAGGAAAGAUGCAUUCGGCUUAGAAAGCAGUUUAUGGAGCUGCAGGGCAAGGGGAAAACAUUGGCGUCAGCAAAUCCUGAGUUAAAAACUCAGUGGAAGAAGAAAACUAAGAUGAAGAGCGUUCAUAGGAAGAGCCCAUGCCAGAUGGGGGUCCAACAGGUGGAUGGAAGAAAAUCCACUUGAAUGUCCAUUUUCAAUGGAUUACUCUAACAUCCCUAAUUGAAGACUAAUGUUCUAGUUACAGAACAGCCCAACACUCAAACGUGCAAGAUAUUCUCAUACAACAAAAGCACCCAGCAGCCGAUCUGUGUGAAGCAAAGAGAACAGAAACUGACCAAGACUCAAAACUGAGGUUCACUCCUGACUCGGCUACCCACCCCAGAAGGGCGGAAGAAGCAGAAGGACAAGGAACAACUGCAGACUCUGCAACGUAUUUCUAUUUUGCCCCCAGCCCCCAAGUCAAGCAAGUUGUUGGCUGCACCGUGAUUCUCUCGCAAACAGGUCUCAGCUUUAGAAGACCGCUGCCAGCCAGAGUCAAGAGUACUGGAAUUAGCUAGCCUCUCAGGCUACAAACCCUCCAAAGGUGGUUUAUGACUAAACAUACAAUAACAAAAUGACAGUGACUCAUCAGGAUCUUUCCCGCAAGGCGAUGGCUUCUUCCUGUGGGGCAAGGGAGACUCUAACAACAUCUGGGCAGCCACAGGUUCCCCAUCUCUGCUCCAGGGUGGCAGUGGGGACAAUUGAGCUGGUUCUUAUAAUCUUUUCCACCUGCUUUCCUUGUUUGCUACUUAAAUAGCUCACAUGGUCGAUCCCGCAACAUGGUGAUGAG